RNAcentral lists this ribosomal RNA (431 nucleotides) under uncultured bacterium. RNAcentral's name for it is "bacterial SSU rRNA". It matches the Rfam family "Bacterial small subunit ribosomal RNA", at positions 772 to 1198 of the family's 1533-position model. The record is from RNAcentral.
ACGUAAUAGAUACCCCGGUAGUCCUGGCAGUAAACGGUGCGCGUUUGGUGUGGGGGGGUUCGACAAUCUCCGCGCCGGAGCUAAACGCGUUAAAACGCGCCGCCUGGGAAAUACGGUCGCAAGAUUAAAACUCAAAGAAAUUGACGGGGCCCGCACAAGCGGUGGAGUAUGUGGCUUAAUUCGAUGCAACGCGAAGAACCUUACCUGGGCUUGACAUGCAUCGCUAAGGCGGUGAAAGCCGCCGAGGGUAGCAAUACCUACUUUGCACAGGUGCUGCAUGGCUGUCGUCAGCUCGUGUCGUGAGAUGUUGGGUUAAGUCCCGCAACGAGCGCAACCCUUAUGAACUGUUGCAGCGACGCAAGUCGCGCUCUCUGUUCAGACCGCCCUGUGAAACGGGGUAGGAAGGUGGGGAUGACGUCAAGUCAGCAUGG